CUGGGGCUCAAGCCCUUUGCUGACACCGCGACGCUGAUUAUUUCAUCGGCCACUCAAGGAUCAUCCCCGCCGAUCAUGGGUUUAGCGCAAAGCAUCAAAGAGGAGCAAGAGGAGGAAUGGAAGUUUCUUUCCAUGUGGAGAGGACGUGAGGAGUGAAGAACCCGACGAGGAGGAAGCCAAACGUUACAGCCCCGUGCGCUCCAUCUAUUGUCACACACAGCGGAGAAGAAGGCGGCUCACUCAGUUGGAGCGCCUUUUUAUCCCGGUCCGGGGAGAGGAGGGGCGAUCAGCUGUCAUCCUCGCACUCGGAUGGGUUCGCGAAGCCCCCGCGACGAGUAAAAAAUAAAUAAAUAAAUAACAAUUAAAACUGUUGACGCUCCAUGGCGGCGCGACAAGGGCGCAGGUUACUCAGGUCUGACAGUCCGACGUGAGGGUCCAGGGAGCAGAUCCGUCCAUGUGCUUCGGUUCCGUUCCCUCUCACGGCAGGUGCAAUUCCCCCAAAGUGUCCGAGUCCGCCAUGGGUGCGUAGAAAGACCCCAAUCAUACAAGCUCACCUGAAUUAAAGUGAUGCACGCUGGUGUGCUGCUGCUAGCCGCGAUGCGCUGCCCUGUGUUGUUGUUCCUGUCAUGAGCUUUCUUUCACCCCCCUUUAAAACGGCCGCAACAACAGAGCCAGAGCCGCUUGACAAGCAGUGCGGGGGGAGAGAAAACAGCGGAUCUCCGGGAGACUUUUGCCGCAGAGAAAGCAAACGCAGACAGACACGAACAUGGUUUUUGUUGUGCCGUACAAUGGGAAAACGUAAGGGUAUCCUCCUUCUAUACGCCCAUCAAUUGAGCAGCAUCACAACGGUACGGAGCAACCGAACCUGGGUGGACUGGGAGUGGCAAGCCAGCCGACCAAUUGCAAGUCUGCAAACGGAGUAGAGUAGGCGGGAUGACGACGUUCAACCUGAUCAGGUUUUUUUAAUUAUUUUAUUUUAUUUCGGUAGCGUGCUUGUAUGAUCCAUCAUUUAAUAACUGAAUUCAUAACCUAAAACAUGUCCAGCUCUUCCACAGGAAACAGAUGUAUAGUGUUGAUCUUCUGUUUAUGGUAAACUGAACUGGAAAAAGACAGUUAGGUCUGUCUCAAUAAGUAACUAAUGGCAUGACAAAUUGAAAUAUGCUCAAUUA
This is a long non-coding RNA of Xiphophorus couchianus (Monterrey platyfish), 1169 nucleotides long. RefSeq lists it as uncharacterized. The record is from RefSeq and is a predicted model, not a curated record. NCBI's taxonomy places the organism in Eukaryota, Metazoa, Chordata, Actinopteri, Cyprinodontiformes, Poeciliidae. The transcript is spliced from 2 exons.